GAUGGGGACCUGUUUAUAGUGCUGCUCCCCACCCUUAUCUUAUCUCAGGCCAGAUGGAGAGGCUGAGAAUGUCACCCAGAGGUAACCUCUGCACCCUGGCAUCUGGGAAGGGCUCUUGGUAGAGAUACUGAACUCCUGGUGGCCUAGGGCUGUAGCUGUGCGGCUGGAGUGAGGAAAAGUUUGGACAACUUGCAAAGCUGCCCCCAGUCUGAGGGCUGGAGCGAGAGGGAAAGGGAAAUUGAAGUAGAAAGAGAAAAACAGAAACCAAGUUGGGGUGGGGAGCUGGGAGAGAUGGGGGCAGAUCAGAAAAAAGACAACUAGAAGGUGGCAGGAGGCAGAGAAAAGGGGCUGCAGUGAUGGAUUCCUUUGCCAGUGCCUCCACCCACCAACCCUCUGACCUUAGAAAAGCCAUGCUCCUUAACUGGGCCUCAGUUUACCCAUGCGCAAAAUGGGGAUGAUAAUUCUGACUCUGUCUUCCUCCUAGGACUGCUGUGAAGAGGAGAGUGGUGACAGCAGAGGAGACCAUUUUGCAAGGAAUGAAAUGAAGUGUAAAUGUCCAUGUGAAGACCAGGACAUGGGGACUGGCUGGGCCGACACUCCCAGCCUCACCCAGCAGCCUUCCUGCCAACUGCCAAGACUUGGACUUGUGCCCUGCCCCUCCAGGAAUACAUCCUCUCUUUGAUGACGGCAACACAGGAUCCAGUAGUGCCUCCCAUUAGUAGAACUGAACUGGAAGACAGAAGAAUAAGUAUUCUGCAGAGGUUAACCUCCUAGUGCACAGAGCAAGUAGAAAAGGAUGGACAAGGGAUUUGAAGGGGCAAGUGGAGAAUAAACAGCCCACAUGAUCUGCACUGAUGAGGGAAAAGGCAAAAGAAACAAACACAUUAAUCAUCUUCAAGCCAUAUCUAUUUUAGACUUUUACUUGUUUCUCAUUAUCACUCUUAUAAAAAACAUUGUCUCAAAAGAGGACACCCCUCAAACUCUAAAUGUUCUAAUGAAAUCAAUAUAUAAUGGAAGGAAGCGCAGUAUCUCUCAGUCAGACUGUAUUAGUUAAGUCUCUUUUGGUUGUAUGUUACAGAACACUUCAACUAGUUUAAACUGAAAGAAAAAGAGAGAGAGAGAGAGAGAGGGAACAUUAAUUAUCAGGAUAAUUAGGAUACUGGGGAGCCUCCCCAGGCCCAGCGGACUUCAGGAGUGUAAGAAUGUCAGCUGGAAUUCAGCAGCUGCUUCCCCUAGGGUUGACAUAGAGCGUCCAAGGCAGGGCCCCCUGAGCCCACCUCCGUGGCUGAGAUCCAGACCUUUUUGGAGAGGGUG
Manis pentadactyla (Chinese pangolin) is the source of this 1314-nucleotide long non-coding RNA. RefSeq lists it as uncharacterized. The transcript is spliced from 3 exons. The record is from RefSeq and is a predicted model, not a curated record. NCBI's taxonomy places the organism in Eukaryota, Metazoa, Chordata, Mammalia, Pholidota, Manidae.